RNAcentral lists this long non-coding RNA (1642 nucleotides) under Sus scrofa (pig). RNAcentral's name for it is "lncRNA (ENSSSCG00070025729.1)". The record is from RNAcentral. Lineage: Eukaryota; Metazoa; Chordata; Mammalia; Artiodactyla; Suidae.
AGCCCAUCUCCUGCUACCUCGGAUCCCCCGGGAGCCUGGCAGGGAUGUGAGGGCUCUACCACACGUGGAGCAGGCUUCGAGCCAAUUUUAUUUGAAUCUCAAAGAGAUACAGAACCCCAGCUGACAUCUGGGUUUCACGAUAAAUUCCACCACCUCACCCCUUCACGUAAAUUAUUAAGACUGAUUUCUAUUACAGUAAAAGUAGCACGUUGUCUAAAAAACCGAAACAUAAUUUGAUUGAAAGAAGUUAUUCUGGUCUUUCAGUUUUUCUGUUUAAAUUCGCCAAUUAUAUAGAAAUGACAGCUCAUUGUUGCUUUUUUGGUGUUACAGAAUCUUUUUUAAAAAAAUUUAUUGUAUUUUUACUAGAGUAUAGUUGAUUUCUGGUUUUGUAUCAAUUUCUGUUCUAUAGCAUAGUGAUCCAGUCCUACAAAUAUGCAUUCUUUUCCUCAUAUAAUCAUCCGUAAGUUUCUACCCCAAGAGAUUGGAUAUAGUUCCCUGGGCUACACAGUAGGACCUUAUUGUCCUAAAUGUAAUAGUUUGCAUCGACCAACCCCAAACUCCCCGUCUACCCGACUCCGUCCCUCUCCCCCUGGGCAACCACAAGUCUGCUCUCCAUGUCUGUGAGUGGGUUUCUGUUUUGCAGAUAGGUUCAUUUGUGCCCUCUCUUAGAUUCCACACAUCAGCGAUAGCAUAGGGUAUUUGUCUUUCUCUUUCUGACUUACUUCACUUAGAAGGACACUCUCUAGUUGCAUCUGUGCAUGCUGGUCCCUGGCUAACUGCAGGGCAGAUCUCUGUUGAGGGGGCCCCAUUGCUUCCCACAAAGGCAUGUGACUCCUAUCUCCUUCCCGUACUCAAACACCACAGGGAUUCUUUCUUCAACGUCAUGUAUUCAGAGGGCAACGUUCCCUAUAGAGCCUUGUAGGGAAGAUUGCUCUGGUUGAAACAUUGGCAUUCGCUGAUCAUGAUCCUUCCUAUAUUUGAGAACUCGCAAGACAGGAGGAAGACAGGGAGCUCCUGCCGUGGCUCAGCGGAAACAAAUCUGACUAGUAUCCAUGAGGACGCAGGUUUGAUCCCUGGUCUCGCUCAGUGGGUUAAGGAUCCGCCAUUGCUGUGGCUGUGGUGUAGGCCAUCACCUGCAGCUCUGAUUCAGUCUCGACCCUGGGAAUCUCCACAUGCCAUGUGUGUGGCCCUAAAAAAAAAGAAAAAAAAAGAUAGGAGGAAGCUAGAACCUAGCCCCUCCUCCCAGAGUAGGUCCUAUUUCCACCUCUCAGGGCUCUGGAAGACAGACGUGGGGAUGUGGGAGAUAAGUGGGUGUGAGAGAGCCCUGCUGGAUGUAGUCAGUAUAUCACGAGACGUACUAGAGUUAUGUUGCCAGACAGGCGAAUGCUCCUGUCUAGGACUUGGGCUUCAAGGAAUGAUGGAAAGAUCUCAGACGGGUAGAAAUGACGUGUGGUGGGAUGCUGUAGAGGGUGGUGUGGUGGCUGGUGCAGGUGGAGAAGGCCUUGCUCUGGGCCUGCAGGGACCUCAUCCUGCAGAUUGUGCCCAGGAUGUAGGCAUAAGAGACCACGAUGACGGAGAUCGUGGGGAGAGUGACGGAGGCAGAAAGGACGAGCAAGAUGACAUUGGCCGUGGCGGUGUCUGA